RNAcentral lists this transfer RNA (68 nucleotides) under Neoceratodus forsteri (Australian lungfish). RNAcentral describes it as "tRNA-Phe". It matches the Rfam family "tRNA". From Rfam's summary of the family: Transfer RNA (tRNA) molecules are approximately 80 nucleotides in length. Their secondary structure includes four short double-helical elements and three loops (D, anti-codon, and T loops). Lineage: Eukaryota; Metazoa; Chordata; Ceratodontiformes; Ceratodontidae. The record is from RNAcentral.
GCUGAUGUAGCUUAAUCAAAGCAUAACACUGAAGAUGUUAAGAUAAACCCUAAAAAGUUUCAUGAGCA